CCUACGGGAGGCAGCAGUAGGGAAUCUUCCACAAUGGACGAAAGUCUGAUGGAGCAACGCCGCGUGAGUGAAGAAGGGUUUCGGCUCGUAAAGCUCUGUUGGUAGUGAAGAAAGAUAGUGGUAGUAACUGGCCUUUAUUUGACGGUAAUUACUUAGAAAGUCACGGCUAACUACGUGCCAGCAGCCGCGGUAAUACGUAGGUGGCAAGCGUUGUCCGGAUUUAUUGGGCGUAAAGCGAGUGCAGGCGGUUCAAUAAGUCUGAUGUGAAAGCCUUCGGCUCAACCGGAGAAUUGCAUCAGAAACUGUUGGACUUGAGUGCAGAAGAGGAGAGUGGAACUCCAUGUGUAGCGGUGGAAUGCGUAGAUAUAUGGAAGAACACCGGUGGCGAAGGCAGCUCUCUGGUCUGCAACUGACGCUGAGGCUCGAAAGCAUGGGUAGCGAACAGGAUUAGAUACCCUAGUAGUC
This 465-nucleotide ribosomal RNA is filed under the name uncultured bacterium. Its description in RNAcentral is "partial 16S ribosomal RNA". It matches the Rfam family "Bacterial small subunit ribosomal RNA", at positions 338 to 795 of the family's 1533-position model. The record is from RNAcentral.